UACAGAGGUCCCAAGCGUUGUUCGGAUUCACUGGGCGUAAAGGGUGCGUAGGCGGUUGGGUAAGUCUGACGUGAAAUCUCACAGCUUAACUGUGAAACUGCAUUGGAUACUAUCCGGCUAGAGGAAUGGAGGGGAGACUGGAAUACUUGGUGUAGCAGUGAAAUGCGUAGAUAUCAAGUGGAGCACCAGUGGCGAAGGCGAGUCUCUGGACAUUUCCUGACGCUGAGGCACGAAAGCCAGGGGAGCAAACGGG
RNAcentral lists this ribosomal RNA (253 nucleotides) under uncultured bacterium. RNAcentral's name for it is "partial 16S ribosomal RNA". It matches the Rfam family "Bacterial small subunit ribosomal RNA", at positions 524 to 776 of the family's 1533-position model. The record is from RNAcentral.